AGUUCAGUUGGUAGAGCAUGGUGUUUGCAACGCCAGGGUUGUGGGUUCGAUUCCCAC
Molecule: transfer RNA, 57 nt
Filed under: Salmo salar (Atlantic salmon)
Lineage: Eukaryota; Metazoa; Chordata; Actinopteri; Salmoniformes; Salmonidae
Also listed under: 1 other name
Rfam family: tRNA
About the family: Transfer RNA (tRNA) molecules are approximately 80 nucleotides in length. Their secondary structure includes four short double-helical elements and three loops (D, anti-codon, and T loops).
Source: Rfam by way of RNAcentral